RNAcentral lists this ribosomal RNA (264 nucleotides) under uncultured archaeon. Its description in RNAcentral is "partial 16S ribosomal RNA". It matches the Rfam family "Archaeal small subunit ribosomal RNA", at positions 717 to 982 of the family's 1478-position model. The record is from RNAcentral.
AGACGUCUACAUUAGAUACCCGGGUAGUCCCAGCCGUAAACGAUGUGCGUUAGGUGUAUCGGUGACCACGAGUCACCGAGGUGCCGAAGAGAAAUCGUGAAACGUACCGCCUGGGAAGUACGGUCGCAAGGCUGAAACUUAAAGGAAUUGGCGGGGAGCACCACAACAGGUGGAGCCUGCGGUUUAAUCGGACUCAACGCCGGAAAACUCACCAGAUAAGACAGCUGAAUGAUAGUCGGGCUGAAGACUCUACUUGACUAGCUG